Molecule: long non-coding RNA, 1245 nt
Organism: Oreochromis aureus
Lineage: Eukaryota; Metazoa; Chordata; Actinopteri; Cichliformes; Cichlidae
Source: Ensembl
CUGGCUGUAGGCUGUGGCACUUGGCCAGAGGUGGCGCUGGUUGACUCGAGUCCAUGUUAGUGCACACAAAGUAAACUGCACGCUUUAGUUGUGAAGCAAAAACGCUGAAACCGGAGAAAUAAAACGUGCGAGGGGGACGAUAACGACGACAAGAGUCUCCCGAUCGUUUACUCUUGGUGUCCUGUGAGCAACAUCGGCGUGGUGUUAAUUGUUUGCUGUUUUCGCGAUCGCGUCGCACAUGAGGAUAUCACCAGGAGCUACCCUCAGAUUCAGACCUCAGCACCACCCAGUGACAGCAGACAGAUCAUCCAACAUGUUCACAUGUUAACUGCAAAAUGAACUGAUGAAAACAAUACAAAGGUUAAAGUACCACAUGUGCUGUAGUGAAAGCUGCAGCUGUUUUAUUGAUAAAGUUAAAGACAAAAAAACAAAAGGAUUAAUCACCCCUGUAACUGUGUCACUAUAUAUCAGCAUUAACUGCAGUUUGGUGUUUCACAAAGCUGCUGAUCUCAGACCUGCACAGCUUCAGUUUUAAACACUAGAUGUACUCAGCUGCAUGAAGAGCAUAUGAGAUUUUCUCUAACACAAUUAAAUAAAACUUGAUGAAGGUCAAAGGUCAUCACUUGUAUGUUGAACUACAAACUUGUCAUCUGGAAUUCUUUAACAGUUUUUUGCAGAUAGUGUGUUGUUUACCAUAAAGUGAUUCAGAGUUAUUCAUACCAGAGUAACCAGAGAGGAUCAUAUAUUUUUAAAUAUAUAACUUUCUACAGGACUGAAUAUAAUAUCUUUUAUGUAAAAAUCUGGAGCCUCUGGGGAGUAUCCGAGUAUUUUUAACAUUACACAAACCAAAUGUCUCCAUCACAGUGUUCAUGAAAUGCUGGGUUUAUCCAUCUCCUGGGGCGGGCCUACGGAGGAGUGCUAAAGAUUUCCCUGUGAGGGAGCUGCUGGUGAAGAUCAUGAGUCCUGCUUGAUCAAUGUGAUGAGCUUCAGUGUUCCUGUUGUUUCUUAAAUGAUGCCUCUUUCAGUGGGUCAACAGAACAUCUGGCACAGGACAGCUGCGAUGAAAGAAAGGGAAGAAGUGUCUCCAAACCUCUGGACCCAGGAAACCCAGCUUGGUCCUGAUGGUCUCCCUCACUAGUUUCUCUCCAGGGUGAAUGUAGCUGUUGAUAUAAUAUGGACUCUGUUAUUAAAUGAAAAGAACAAAUUAGACUACACUACUGAAACGUUCUGCUGAUGUUUUUAAAC